This 201-nucleotide ribosomal RNA is filed under the name uncultured bacterium. RNAcentral's name for it is "partial 16S ribosomal RNA". It matches the Rfam family "Bacterial small subunit ribosomal RNA", at positions 328 to 539 of the family's 1533-position model. The record is from RNAcentral.
ACGCUCGACACCUACGGGAGGCAGCAGUGGGGAAGUAAUUGCACAAUGGGGGAAACCCGUGAUGCAGCGACGCCGCGUGAGCGAAGAAGUAUUUCGGUAUGUAAAGCUCUAUCAGCAGGGAAGAAACUGACGGUACCUGACUAAGAAGCACCGGCUAAAUACGUACCAGCAGCCGCGGUAAUCUGAGCGGGCUGGCAAGGC